Panicum virgatum (switchgrass) is the source of this 1589-nucleotide RNA transcript. It is a transcript of the gene named nicotianamine aminotransferase 1-like, with no coding region annotated. The transcript has 7 exons. The record is from RefSeq and is a predicted model, not a curated record. NCBI's taxonomy places the organism in Eukaryota, Viridiplantae, Streptophyta, Magnoliopsida, Poales, Poaceae.
ACGUAAUCGCAUCUAUUCGGCUCACUCCUCGCACGCCGCGAAAGGCACAGAACCGCCGGUCCCCAAUGGAGAACGGCGCCGCCGCCGUGGCCGCGUGGAACUUCGCUCCGAACGACGCCCUCCUCGGCCUGACGGCGCUCUCCGUGCGCGGCGUGCUGGGCAAAGUGAAGGCCGGGAUGGUGGAGGGCAGCGGCGCCGGCGGCGCGCGCCCCGUGGUCCCGCUGGGCCACGGCGACCCGUCGGCGUUCCCGUGCUUCCGGACGGCGCCGGAGGCCGUGGGCGCCGUCGCCGGCGCGCUCCGGUCCGGGGAGUACAACUCCUACGCCGCCUGCGUCGGCCUGGAGCCAGCACGGAGGUCUAUAUCACAGUAUUUGUCGCGCGACCUGCCAUACGAGCUAUCAGCCAACGACGUCUACCUGACAAGCGGUUGCGCCCAAGCGAUCGAGGUCGUCUGCUCUGCCCUGGCUCGCCAUGGCGCCAACAUCCUGCUCCCAAGGCCGGGCUACCUGUUCUACGAGGCGCGCGCCGUCUUCAACGGGAUGGAGGCCCGGUACUUCGACCUCGUACCGGAGAGAGGCUGGGAGGUCGACCUCGAUGGCCUGCAAGGCACUCGGUGACGGGAACACGGUCGCCAUGGUCAUCGUCAACCCGGGGAACCCCUGUGGCAACGUCUACACCUAUGAGCAUUUGGGCAAGAUUGCGGAGAUGGCGAGGAAGCUGGGUAUCUUUGUGAUUGCGGAUGAAGUGUAUGCGCACUUGACGUUUGGGAAGAAGAAGUUUGUGCCAAUGGGCGUGUUCGGCUCGGUGGCGCCGGUGCUCACUCUGGGAUCCAUAUCAAAGAGAUGGGUGGUGCCUGGAUGGAGACUUGGCUGGAUAGUAUGCAAUGAUCCUAAUGGUGUAUUUCACAAAACCAAGGUAGUGGACAGCAUCAAGAGUUACCUUGACAUCUCCUCUGAUCCUCCAACUUUUGUCCAGGGGGCAAUUCCGCAACUCAUCAAAAACACUAAGCAAGAAUUUUUCGAUAAAACUGUCGAGGUUCUAAGACAAACCGCCGAUAUAUGCUGGGAGAAGUUGAAGGGAGUCAGCUGCAUCACUUGCCCCAGCAGGCCUGAGGGUUCCAUGUUUGUAAUGGUGAAACUGGAUCUGUCCUGCCUGAAAGACAUCAAAGAUGAUAUGGAUUUCUGCUGCCGGCUUGCCAAGGAAGAAUUGGUGGUGGUUUUGCCAGGAUGUGCUGUGGGAUACAAGAAUUGGCUCCGGAUCACCUUCGCAAUCGCACCAUCUUCUCUUGAAGAUGGCCUUGACAGGCUCAAAUCCUUCUGCUUGCGCCACAGCAAGCAAAAGUGAUGUGGUAAGCUUGAAGUGUUCAAGAAGUGAUAUGAUAAGGAUUUAAUCGCACCAUCUUCUCUUGAAGAUGGCCUUGACAGGCUCAAAUCCUUCUGCUCAGUCAUCACUUGCUAUUCUUGCAACUCCUGUUGUAACGCCAGUGUGCGCAGGUGCACUGUUCUUGAAUACAUGACGGAUUAUACGAGAAUGACAGAUUCUGUUCACAUUGACAGUUAAUAAACAUGCUAAAGAUAAAUUUCUUCCAA